RNAcentral lists this ribosomal RNA (301 nucleotides) under uncultured bacterium. RNAcentral describes it as "partial 16S ribosomal RNA". It matches the Rfam family "Bacterial small subunit ribosomal RNA", at positions 509 to 808 of the family's 1533-position model. The record is from RNAcentral.
CAGCCGCCACGGGGAAUACGUAGGAGGCAAGCGUUGUCCGGAAUUAUUGGGCGUAAAGGGCUCGCAGGCGGUUUCUUAAGUCUGAUGUGAAAGCCCCCGGCUCAACCGGGGAGGGUCAUUGGAAACUGGGAAACUUGAGUGCAGAAGAGGAGAGUGGAAUUCCACGUGUAGCGGUGAAAUGCGUAGAGAUGUGGAGGAACACCAGUGGCGAAGGCGACUCUCUGGUCUGUAACUGACGCUGAGGAGCGAAAGCGUGGGGAGCGAACAGGAUUAGAUACCCCCGUAGUCCCUGUCUCUUAUU